RNAcentral lists this non-coding RNA (45 nucleotides) under Schistosoma curassoni. Lineage: Eukaryota; Metazoa; Platyhelminthes; Trematoda; Strigeidida; Schistosomatidae. The record is from RNAcentral.
AUCCAGCUGACGAGUCCAAAAUAGAACGAAACGCGCAUCCUGGAU